GCCAGCUUGCUGGGUGGAUUAGUGGCGAACGGGUGAGUAACACGUGAGCAACCUGCCCCUGACUCUGGGAUAAGCGCUGGAAACGGCGUCUAAUACUGGAUAUGUCCCGUCACCGCAUGGUGUGCGGGUGGAAAGAUUUUUCGGUUGGGGAUGGGCUCGCGGCCUAUCAGCUUGUUGGUGAGGUAAUGGCUCACCAAGGCGUCGACGGGUAGCCGGCCUGAGAGGGUGACCGGCCACACUGGGACUGAGACACGGCCCAGACUCCUACGGGAGGCAGCAGUGGGGAAUAUUGCACAAUGGGCGGAAGCCUGAUGCAGCAACGCCGCGUGAGGGAUGACGGCCUUCGGGUUGUAAACCUCUUUUAGCAGGGAAGAAGCGAAAGUGACGGUACCUGCAGAAAAAGCACCGGCUAACUACGUGCCAGCAGCCGCGGUAAUACGUAGGGUGCAAGCGUUAUCCGGAAUUAUUGGGCGUAAAGAGCUCGUAGGCGGUCUGUCGCGUCUGCUGUGAAAUCCCGAGGCUCAACCUCGGGCUUGCAGUGGGUACGGGCAGACUAGAGUGCGGUAGGGGAGAUUGGAAUUCCUGGUGUAGCGGUGGAAUGCGCAGAUAUCAGGAGGAACACCGAUGGCGAAGGCAGAUCUCUGGGCCGUAACUGACGCUGAGGAGCGAAAGGGUGGGGAGCAAACAGGCUUAGAUACCCUGGUAGUCCACCCCGUAAACGUUGGGAACUAGUUGUGGGGUCCUUUCCACGGAUUCCGUGACGCAGCUAACGCAUUAAGUUCCCCGCCUGGGGGAGUACGGCCGCAAGGCUAAAACUCAAAGGAAUUGACGGGGACCCGCACAAGCGGCGGAGCAUGCGGAUUAAUUCGAUGCAACGCGAAGAACCUUACCAAGGCUUGACAUACACGAGAACGGGCCAGAAAUGGUCAACUCUUUGGACACUCGUGAACAGGUGGGUGCAUGGGUUGUCGUCAGCCUCGUGUCCUGAAAAUGUUUGGGUUAAGUCCCGCAACGAGCGCAACCCUCGUUCUAUGUUGCCAGC
This 1042-nucleotide ribosomal RNA is filed under the name marine bacterium AK6_006. Its description in RNAcentral is "bacterial SSU rRNA". It matches the Rfam family "Bacterial small subunit ribosomal RNA", at positions 74 to 1122 of the family's 1533-position model. The record is from RNAcentral.